RNAcentral lists this ribosomal RNA (490 nucleotides) under uncultured bacterium. Its description in RNAcentral is "partial 16S ribosomal RNA". It matches the Rfam family "Bacterial small subunit ribosomal RNA", at positions 30 to 507 of the family's 1533-position model. The record is from RNAcentral.
AUUGAACGCUGGCGGCAGGCCUAACACAUGCCAGUCGAACGGUAACAGGAAGCAGCUUGCUGCUUUGCUGACGAGUGGCGGACGGGUGAGUAAUGUCUGGGAAACUGCCUGAUGGAGGGGGAUAACUACUGGAAACGGUAGCUAAUACCGCAUAACGUCGCAAGACCAAAGAGGGGGACCUUCGGGCCUCUUGCCAUCGGAUGUGCCCAGGUGGGAUUAGCUAGUGGGUGGGGUAACGGCUCACCUAGGCGACGAUCCCUAGCUGGUCUGAGAGGAUGACCAGCCACACUGGAACUGAGACACGGUCCAGACUCCUACGGGAGGCAGCAGUGGGGAAUAUUGCACAAUGGGCGCAAGCCUGAUGCAGCCAUGCCGCGUGUAUGAAGAAGGCCUUCGGGUUGUAAAGUACUUUCAGCGGGGAGGAAGGGAGUAAAGUUAAUACCUUUGCUCAUUGACGUUACCCGCAGAAGAAGCACCGGCUAACUCCGUG